GGGCCCGCACAAGCGGUGGAGCAUGUGGUUUAAUUCGAUGCAACGCGAAGAACCUUACCUGGUCUUGACAUACACAGAAUCUUGUAGAGAUACGAGAGUGCCUUCGGGAAUUGUGAUACAGGUGCUGCAUGGCUGUCGUCAGCUCGUGUCGUGAGAUGUUGGGUUAAGUCCCGCAACGAGCGCAACCCUUGUCCCUUAGUUACCAGCACUUCGGGUGGGAACUCUAAGGAUACUGCCGGUGCUAAGCCGGAGGAAGGCGGGGAUGACGUCAAGUCCUCAUGGCCCUUACACGCGGGGCUACACACGUGCUACAAUGGCAGUGACAAUGGGAUAAUCCCAAAAAGCUGUCUCAGUUCAGAUUGUCCUCUGCAACUCGAGGGCAUGAAGUUGGAAUCGCUAGUAAUCG
This 406-nucleotide ribosomal RNA is filed under the name uncultured bacterium. RNAcentral's name for it is "bacterial SSU rRNA". It matches the Rfam family "Bacterial small subunit ribosomal RNA", at positions 917 to 1344 of the family's 1533-position model. The record is from RNAcentral.